GUCCACGCCCUAAACGAUGUCAACUGGUUGUUGGGUCUUCACUGACUCAGUAACGAAGCUAACGCGUGAAGUUGACCGCCUGGGGAGUACGGCCGCAAGGUUGAAACUCAAAGGAAUUGACGGGGACCCGGCACAAGCGGUGGAUGAUGUGGUUUAAUUUCGAUGCAACGCGAAAACCUUAACCCACCUUUGACAUGUACGGAACUCGCCAGAGAUGGCUUGGUGCUCGAAAGAGAGCCGUAACACAGGUGCUGCAUGGCUGUCGU
This 266-nucleotide ribosomal RNA is filed under the name uncultured bacterium. RNAcentral's name for it is "partial 16S ribosomal RNA". It matches the Rfam family "Bacterial small subunit ribosomal RNA", at positions 793 to 1055 of the family's 1533-position model. The record is from RNAcentral.